GGUCGUAUCGUACCGGUCGUCGCAUUGUGUGUUGCUUCGUCGACAUAGCAAUAAAAAUGAAAAAAACAUUUUAUAAUUAAAAUUAGAAUUUUAUAAACUUUAGUUCGCACACAACGUGUUGCAUAUGUGUUAUUAUUGUUUUUCAUUGAUUUGUACAUAAAGAAAUUUGUGAAAAAUGAAUAGAAUUAAGCAAUGUUCGCGAUAUAAAAACUUUUAACCGAGCGAAUCGUAAACAAAAACUAAUUAAAUGGUCGAUUGAUUACCAACAAAAAGUAAAAAAUCAUUCGAUCUGGAUAUAUGGUACAACUGCCAGCAGUGAAUAUAUCGAUACGAGAUAUUAACGAGACCAGUGCCGCACUGACAGGAAUUUGACAAUUUUAUUUUGUCAUAAUUCUGUUGCCAUACAACACUCGACCAUCAACAAACCAUUCCACCGCACAGUAUGGCCUCGGUCGCUGCUUGGUUGCCUUUCGCACGGGCAGCGGCCAUUGGAUGGGUACCAAUUGCCACACAUCCACUGCCAUCACCUCCAGUACCAAAGGAUCGACGAAAAACAGACGAUGAAAAAUUUGUGAUCAACGUAUCAGGUCGCCGAUUCGAAACGUGGCGUAAUACACUCGAAAAAUAUCCAGACACUUUGCUGGGCAGCAACGAACGGGAAUUCUUUUAUGACGAAGAUGUGAGAGAGUAUUUCUUUGACCGAGAUCCGGAUAUAUUUCGUCACAUUUUGAAUUAUUAUCGAACGGGUAAAUUGCAUUACCCGAAACAUGAAUGCUUAACGAGCUACGACGAAGAGCUAGCAUUUUUCGGCAUAUUGCCGGAUGUAAUUGGCGAUUGUUGCUACGAAGACUAUCGCGAUCGGAAACGGGAAAAUGCCGAACGAUUGAUGGAUGAUAAAUUGUCUGAGAAUGGUGAUCAAAAUUUGCAGCAGUUAACAAAUAUACGGCAGAAGAUGUGGCGAGCGUUUGAAAAUCCGCACACAUCAACGGCUGCUUUAGUGUUUUAUUAUGUAACCGGCUUCUUCAUUGCUGUAUCCGUUAUGGCCAACGUUGUCGAAACUGUACCGUGUGGCCAUCGGCCUGGACGUGCUGGAACGCUUCCAUGUGGCGAACGUUACAAAAUCGUAUUUUUCUGUUUGGACACCGCUUGCGUUAUGAUUUUCACAGCCGAAUAUUUACUGCGAUUAUUCGCCGCUCCCGACCGCUGCAAAUUCGUUCGAAGUGUGAUGAGCAUAAUCGAUGUAGUCGCUAUUUUACCAUACUACAUCGGACUGGGCAUUACCGAUAACGAUGAUGUGUCCGGUGCAUUCGUAACGUUACGUGUGUUCCGAGUGUUUCGUAUAUUCAAAUUUUCGCGCCAUUCGCAAGGAUUACGAAUUUUGGGCUAUACGCUGAAAUCUUGUGCUUCGGAAUUGGGUUUUUUGGUGUUUUCGUUGGCGAUGGCCAUCAUCAUUUUUGCGACAGUCAUGUUUUAUGCGGAGAAAAAUGUUGGUGGUACGAAUUUCACAUCGAUUCCUGCAGCAUUUUGGUACACCAUUGUCACAAUGACAACUUUGGGUUAUGGUGAUAUGGUACCGGAAACGAUAGCAGGAAAAAUUGUCGGUGGUGUGUGUUCACUGAGUGGUGUGCUGGUAAUCGCUCUGCCCGUACCAGUCAUAGUAUCUAAUUUUAGUCGAAUUUACCAUCAAAAUCAACGAGCUGAUAAACGAAAAGCACAAAGGAAAGCACGGUUAGCCCGCAUACGAAUUGCUAAGGCAUCAUCUGGUGCAGCGUUCGUCAAUAAGAAAAAGGCGGCCGAAGCCCGUCUAGCUGCUCAAGAAUCUGGUAUUGAACUAGAUGAUACAUAUCGCGAAGAAGAUAUUUUCGAGCUGCAACAUCAUCAUUUGCUGAGAUGUUUAGAGAAAACCACGGACCGUGAAUUCGUCGAACUGGAAAUACCAUACAAUGGUCAAACAAAGCGACCGGGUUCACCGUCUCCAAUGGCGAGUCCAGCUCAUUCAACAGCAAGUAACAUUGGUCUUUUGCAGUCGUGCUGUGGUAGAUGUUGUUCGCAGCGAUAUCAGUCAAAGAGCGUUUAGUAUGCAUGUGUUAUUAUGUGAUGUGACAUGUUCGUUCAACAAAAAAUAUUUAGUGUUUCAUUUGAUGGACCAUCCUAUCGUUGUGGUACUAAACGAAAUUCAAGUACCUCGCAGGAAGAUCGAAUAUCAUAUAAUUCGUAAAUCAUCAGAAAACGAUUAUGAUAAAAUAUGAAGAAUCGAGUUCCGAUUGCCGGGUUUUAAACGAACACAGAAUUAACUUGACAAAAUUGAAAUAUAUUUGAAGUUAACAAAACAUAAAUGAAAAAAAUGAUGGUAGGACCGUAGGACGAUAAACACUAACGUAAAUUAAUUGUUAAUUAAACUUAGAAACACUUAAAUGACGUAGAGAAAUUAUAUUUAUUAGCUGAACAAAAUGGAUACAAUUUCUUCAUAAUUAAAAGCAUUUUGGUUGGCUCCGUCGAAGACUCAGUCAACUGAACGAUUCUUAUGUGGAUUUUUUUUACCAAAUUCAUCGAAAUGUUUUGACGAAAACAACACAAAAUGAAAACCAAUUUCUAAAUGAACAAUUAGAUCAAGAGCGGAUAUUCCACAUUUUUUUCCCUUAUUGUUUCAAAUAACACGCAGACUGUCCAUAAUUUAACAGUAUUCUUUCCGAGAGAGUUGAUUCGUAAUAGCUAUUUUCAUAACGUGUGCCUGAAUGGAAGGUUUGAUGUGAAAAUUAUCAACCAGAGGCGAAGCCGAAGUCAACAUCCAGUUUACUCACAAGGUAGAAACAAGACUUUGUGGUGGGAUUUCCGCACCACUGGUACACAUAGAGAUUCUUUUCAAUAAUCCAAUGCUAGAGUUCGAGUAGAACUUUUCCACACUUUUCAUACACACUAGUGUGUUAAAGUACAAUUGCUUCGUGCGAAUUCCUAAUGCUCGGUGCGAAGUACUUGAUUAGGCUCACGAUGUGUAUUAUGACAAACGGCCUGUGGCAUCGUGUCAUAAUUAAACAUCUAGAGCCUAAUAAAGUACUUCGCACUCGAUGUCAUAAAUAACUAUUUCGCUGACCUUGUGUGAAUCUCACAUUAUAGUGUGCCGAAAACACUCAAAUUUCGUUUUAAAUGAAAGUGGUAUGCUACCUUGUGGUUCUUCACAUUAUGAAACGCUUUUGAUUCGGUUAUGUCCAACGUCGCUCGAUUUUCUCUGACCAACUCAUUUUAGGUUACGUUCACCAGUUUCCAUUAAAGUUCAGAAACACACAUCACAAACAUUGCAAGAAGCACUUGUGUUACUUUGUCAUUGUUACAUUGCUCGUAGUAAUUUUUAUCUCUAAAAGUCGGAGCGUAAAACACGUCUAUAAGAUGUGAGCUUUUCAACGAUCAGAUACAAAUCAGAAGGACAAAAAAUGUAUCUGUACCAGUGUCCAAAAGACAUAGUCACUCUAAGAUAGUGAAGACUUUGCAUAACAUUUCACAAAAUGGAAAAUCCUACAAAACCUGAAAGUCCCUCACAAGUUUUCGACAAAUUAUUAAAUUAUUAAAAUUCUUACGAUAAUGCGAGUAGUACGAGCGACUUGCCCCUACCUGUAAGUGGGUUUAUUUGUAAGUGGAAUAUUUCAAAUUGUUUUAAAGGAACCUGUCACUUUUGGCUAUUCAUCUGUUGUCGAUAACGACGACCAAAAUAAUGACAAGCUAUGGUUAAUAUGGUCCUUUAUAUGUUAAAACAACUCACUGCUCAGGAACAGUGCGUUGUUAAAAACAUUGAAGUACAAGAUUUGAAACCAACAGAUUAAAAAUACUUUCAUCGGUGGAAGUAAUAGACUCGGUAAUAAUACUGGUCGUGUGCUUGCCGUCUGUAACAGGUUAUUGAGGUAAAUAUGAAUAUGAAAAGCUCGGUAUUACUCUCACUGGAAUGCACACCGAAACGACAGAGUCCAUCCUACAAGGAAACUUAUCGAUUGGUUGUAGACUGCACUUUACUUUACUGAAAAUAUUCCCUAAAGGAAUUGUCCAAAGUAAGCACCCGUUUAACGUAAUCGCGAUCCUAAGACACAUCGUGACUUUGUCUUUACUUUUGUAUCGAUUAAUCUUGUUGAAUAAACAUUUCGAACUUCGUAAUACGAAGAGACUUCUGAUUGAAUCAAAUUUUUAUUUCAUCUUCUGUUUCCUAUUAAUAAUAAUUUUACCAAUUAUGUAAUGUAGGCUUUGCACAUUUUGAUCGAUUUAUAUUUUAAAUGGUAAAAGCGAUUAUAUCUACUUUAUAUAUCUAUAUAUCCAGGCGCAUGAUAAAAAAAUAUCAAAAACAAACCAACCAAUCAACAAAAAUAAAAAGUUUUUAAUUUUUCCACUUAAUUGAAAUCUAAUUAAAACAAAACGAUGUGGUGGACAUGUUUUUAAAUUUAGGCAUGCGGAAAGUAUAUGCCAGCAACAGCAACGGCUCAAAGUAAUCAAUCUGGUACUGGGAUGCAAGAUGGUACGUACUUGGUAGAAGCGUCAUUUUAGGAUUAAUAGAAAAAAAAAUGGUUUAGAAGACCUAAGAAGAACAUUUAUAAAGAUUUUAAAGCAGAAAUGAACCCUUGGUAAAUAUGUAGCCUAAAUUUGGGCGGAAAAAUAUUCGUUUUUUUGAUGAUUUCUCUAAACCAAAAUCUUUUUUUUUGUAAAAAGUAAAACCAUUGGAGCGCGCAAAAAUGUGUAACUUUUAGUAGGAAAAAUUGGUUUGAGGGUGAUAACUUAUCCCAUUUGGAGAAACCUUUGCAGCACGCCCGUAACCAGGUAGUGGCUAGAGUAAGCAGAGCCCCCUCUGAUGUAGCUAUUUUAAGCGAUUUUUUCAAUUUUGCCAUACAAAAAUAUUUUUUUGGGCGCUGAGCUCCCUCUAAAUUGUCUAGGGGCUUAGGGGCUGGCUACGGGCCUGCUUUGCAGAUUGUGUAAAUUUAUGUAAUCUGCACAGGUUUCUUCAAGUGGGAGAAGUUUUCACCCACAAAACAAUUUUUCCUACUAAAAGUAACACAUUUUUGCGCGCUUCAAUGGUUUUACUUUUUCAAAAAAAGAUUUUGGCUCAGAGAAAUCAUCAAAAAACGAAUAUUUUUCCUCCCAAAUAUAGGCUACAAGUUUGCAAAGGGUCCAUUGAAAUGAGAAAAAAAAACAACAACAAAUUUACAUGAAUGAACCAAACAAAAUGGUCGUUUGCGUCUGCAUUGACCUGUAUUUUAGUAAAAAUGAAUAUGAUACGUGUUACAAAUUGUUAAA
Unclassified non-coding RNA from Bradysia coprophila, 5268 nucleotides. NCBI's taxonomy places the organism in Eukaryota, Metazoa, Arthropoda, Insecta, Diptera, Sciaridae. The record is from RefSeq and is a predicted model, not a curated record.